This is a non-coding RNA of Rhipicephalus microplus (southern cattle tick), 75 nucleotides long. The record is from the annotation of a RefSeq genome assembly. Lineage: Eukaryota; Metazoa; Arthropoda; Arachnida; Ixodida; Ixodidae.
UGUGCUGUGGGUGUAGUGGUUAGUCACAUCCGCCUUAAACGCGGAAGGCCCAGGUUCGAUCCCUGGCAGGCACAA